GAUGUACCCAUAUUCAAGAUUAAGUGGUGAACCAGGUCAGGUCGUGACAGAAGCAGCCUUAAGCUUACUUAGUUUGUGAGUAUGGGUACAUGAGG
This 95-nucleotide signal recognition particle RNA is filed under the name Bacilli bacterium. RNAcentral describes it as "signal recognition particle sRNA small type". It matches the Rfam family "Bacterial small signal recognition particle RNA". From Rfam's summary of the family: The signal recognition particle (SRP) is a universally conserved ribonucleoprotein involved in the co-translational targeting of proteins to membranes. Lineage: Bacteria; Bacillati; Bacillota; Bacilli. The record is from RNAcentral.